This 171-nucleotide ribosomal RNA is filed under the name Pervagor melanocephalus (redtail filefish). Its description in RNAcentral is "partial 12S rRNA". RNAcentral also lists the same sequence under 1 other name. The record is from RNAcentral. Lineage: Eukaryota; Metazoa; Chordata; Actinopteri; Tetraodontiformes; Monacanthidae.
CACCGCGGUUAUACGGGAGGGCCCAAGCUGACAGACACCGGCGUAAAGCGUGGUUAGGAGUGCAACAAUUAUUAAAGUCGAAUGGUUUCAAGGCUGUUAUACGCUUCCGAACACCAGAAGCACAACAACGAAGGUGACUUUACAAUUUCUGAGCCCACGAAAGCUAAGGCA